GAUCAAGUGAUGAGAGAAAACUGCAACAAUAUGAAGGGCUUAGCCCCAGGAUUCCCAGUAUUUAAGUCUCUGAUGAUU
Molecule: small nucleolar RNA, 78 nt
Organism: Rhodamnia argentea
Lineage: Eukaryota; Viridiplantae; Streptophyta; Magnoliopsida; Myrtales; Myrtaceae
Product: small nucleolar RNA Z199
Exons: 1
Source: RefSeq, a predicted model, not a curated record